GACGAACGCUGGCGGCGCGCUUAACACAUGCAAGUCGAACGGAAAGGCCUGCUUUCCCUUGUGGAUUGCGGGUACUCGAGUGGCGAACGGGUGAGUAACACGUGAGUGAUCUGCCCCCAACUUGGGUAUAAGCCUGGGAAACUGGGUCUAAUUCCCGAUAGGACUGCAGGGUGGUGCCUGUGGUGGAAAACGAUUUUCUAGUGGUUGGGGAUGAGCUCGCGGCCUAUCAGCUUGUUGGUGGGGUAAUGGCCUACCAAGGCGGCGACGGGUAGCCGGCCUGAGAGGGUGGACGGCCACAUUGGGACUGAGAUACGGCCCAGACUCCUACGGGAGGCAGCAGUGGGGAAUAGUGCACAAUGGGCGGAAGCCUGAUGCAGCGACGCCGCGUGGGGGAUGACGGCCUUCGGGUUGCAAACUCCUUUCGACCGCGAGGAAGCCACCUGGUUGGAAGGGUGGUGACGGUAGUGGUAGAAGAAGCACCGGCUAACUACGUG
RNAcentral lists this ribosomal RNA (494 nucleotides) under uncultured bacterium. RNAcentral describes it as "partial 16S ribosomal RNA". It matches the Rfam family "Bacterial small subunit ribosomal RNA", at positions 28 to 507 of the family's 1533-position model. The record is from RNAcentral.